This 467-nucleotide ribosomal RNA is filed under the name uncultured Oomycota. RNAcentral's name for it is "LSU rRNA". It matches the Rfam family "Eukaryotic large subunit ribosomal RNA", at positions 326 to 629 of the family's 3401-position model. Lineage: Eukaryota; Oomycota. The record is from RNAcentral.
GUGCGAGACCGAUAGCGAACAAGUACCGCGAGGGAAAGAUGAAAAGAACUUUGAAAAGAGAGUUAAAGAGUACCUGAAACUGCUGAAAGGGAAGCGAAUCGUAUCCAGUGUCUAUAAUCUGCGGCAUAUUUCAUUGGCGGCAGUGUGCGUGCUUUUGCGUCGGAAGCGGCUUUUGUUGCUCUGUGCUUUUGCUGUGCGUGCUGUUGCUGGUGCCCUGUGUUGCGGUGGGACGUCAGAGUCAGUUCGUAUGUUGCGGGAAAUGGCCGCCGAGGAGGUAGGUCAGGACUUCGGUCUUGGCUGUUAUAUCUUGGUGGUUUGUUGUCGUGGUUGGGACUGAGGUGCCUACAAUGUGCUUUUGAGUGUACCGGGUUCUCAUUUGGUGGACUGUUUGGAUAGCUUGCUAUGCUUGUGGUUUUUUCAUCGGGUGAUUGAGUCUGGUGGUAACUUGUUGCUGUUCGGGACUUUGA